UUUAUAAUGCUCAAAGAAGGAAAGCGUUGGAAUAUAGCUAAAGAAAUUUACGAGACUGAAACUGCUUACACAGCUUGGCUUGCAAUAUUAAUAAAAUUUAGGGAUCAAAUCGAAGACAUAUUCGUAAUUCAGGAUGACUUUUGUUCAAAAGUCGAUAUCAAUAUAAUCUUCCAAAACGUAGAAGAACUUCGAAAGUUGUCUCUUAUACUUCAGCAGGCUCUUAAAGAAGAGCUUGAAGACUGGGAAAAUAGUGGCAUGAUUGGCCGCGUCUUCUUA
This is a long non-coding RNA of Zophobas morio, 276 nucleotides long. RefSeq lists it as uncharacterized. The transcript is spliced from 3 exons. The record is from RefSeq and is a predicted model, not a curated record. NCBI's taxonomy places the organism in Eukaryota, Metazoa, Arthropoda, Insecta, Coleoptera, Tenebrionidae.